This 1000-nucleotide ribosomal RNA is filed under the name uncultured bacterium. RNAcentral's name for it is "bacterial SSU rRNA". It matches the Rfam family "Bacterial small subunit ribosomal RNA", at positions 356 to 1376 of the family's 1533-position model. RNAcentral also lists the same sequence under 1 other name. The record is from RNAcentral.
GGGGGAUAUUGCGCAAUGGGGGCAACCCUGACGCAGCAACGCCGCGUGAAGGAUGAAGGUUUUCGGAUUGUAAACUUCUUUUAUUAAGGACGAAACUUGACGGUACUUAAUGAAUAAGCUCCGGCUAACUACGUGCCAGCAGCCGCGGUAAUACGUAGGGAGCAAGCGUUGUCCGGAUUUACUGGGUGUAAAGGGUGCGUAGGCGGCUUUGCAAGUCAGAUGUGAAAUCUAUGGGCUCAACCCAUAAACUGCAUUUGAAACUGUAGAGCUUGAGUGAAGUAGAGGCAGGCGGAAUUCCCCGUGUAGCGGUGAAAUGCGUAGAGAUGGGGAGGAACACCAGUGGCGAAGGCGGCCUGCUGGGCUUUAACUGACGCUGAGGCACGAAAGCGUGGGUAGCAAACAGGAUUAGAUACCCUGGUAGUCCACGCUGUAAACGAUGAUUACUAGGUGUGGGGGGUCUGACCCCUUCCGUGCCGGAGUUAACACAAUAAGUAAUCCACCUGGGGAGUACGGCCGCAAGGUUGAAACUCAAAGGAAUUGACGGGGGCCCGCACAAGCAGUGGAGUAUGUGGUUUAAUUCGAAGCAACGCGAAGAACCUUACCAGGUCUUGACAUCCAACUAACGAAGUAGAGAUACAUUAGGUGCCCUUCGGGGAAAGUUGAGACAGGUGGUGCAUGGUUGUCGUCAGCUCGUGUCGUGAGAUGUUGGGUUAAGUCCCGCAACGAGCGCAACCCUUGCUAUUAGUUGCUACGCAAGAGCACUCUAAUAGGACUGCCGUUGACAAAACGGAGGAAGGUGGGGACGACGUCAAAUCAUCAUGCCCCUUAUGACCUGGGCUACACACGUACUACAAUGGAUGUUAACAGAGGGAAGCAAGACAGCGAUGUGGAGCAAACCCCUAAAAACAUUCUCAGUUCAGAUUGCAGGCUGCAACCCGCCUGCAUGAAGAUGGAAUUGCUAGUAAUCGCGGAUCAGCAUGCCGCGGUGAAUACGUUCCCG